Long non-coding RNA from Marmota monax (woodchuck), 291 nucleotides. RefSeq lists it as uncharacterized. NCBI's taxonomy places the organism in Eukaryota, Metazoa, Chordata, Mammalia, Rodentia, Sciuridae. The transcript is spliced from 2 exons. The record is from RefSeq and is a predicted model, not a curated record.
AGCUAGAAGCAAGGACCAAAAUCUGACUCCCUUAGAGUGAGAGCCCUGAGAGGGCAGUAGCCCUCAUCUUCCUGGCUUGUCUUCUCGCCUGGCAAGCCAAUUGGAAGCCCUGAAUGAGUGGAGUGUGUGAUGAUUUGCUAAGAGAUGCUAUGAUGUAUGUGAAGUCGCUGCCAUCCCCAAAGAGUGCAUAAAACUGCUGCAAACCCUGGGCUGGGGCCUCUCAACAUGAUCAGUUGCUGUGUGCGUGCAGAGGACAGAGCUAGCUCGCAAUAAACACCUCUUUGCUGUUUA